This is a long non-coding RNA of Humulus lupulus (European hop), 469 nucleotides long. RefSeq lists it as uncharacterized. Lineage: Eukaryota; Viridiplantae; Streptophyta; Magnoliopsida; Rosales; Cannabaceae. The transcript has 2 exons. The record is from RefSeq and is a predicted model, not a curated record.
AGCGAUAGCUUAUUAUAGUCACUAAUUGGCUAUUAAAUUAAAUGCCUUCUCUCUCUGGUCCCUUAGAUUUAUUCCAUUUUCUCAGACGAGCUCAAAUGUCUGCAAUGGCGGCUUGCACUGUGAAUGUGCUCAGGUGACUGGCUCCAGCGACUCUGCUUCAUCGACGUGCUGCGUGGUGCUCAGAAAGUCUUGAUCCCAGUUUUGCAAGAGACAGGUAGGUUACACAAGGCAAUCUCAUCUGAUGUUGGAUGAUUUCAUUAAGGUACUUUCCUUUUUACUGUAUAAUCUUAAUCUGUCAUUGGUGAGAGAAAAAUUCUUGGGUAUAAUUGAGGUCAGGAUUGUGACCUAUGAGUUUUUGUAAACAAUUUUGUAAUAUUUCUAUUUAUAGUGAAAGAUAUGCAGCAGCUCGUCGUGAAUGUAGUCAUAAUUUGGUGAACCAUGUGAAUUGUAUGUCUUUUUAUUCCUCAUA